AUAAUAGUGGAUUAAUGAACGUUAUGGGACUACAUGAAACAAGAUGACGCAGUAUGAUAUACUGAUUUGUAAUCAGUAGGUCCGCGGUUCGAGUCCGUGUGGGGGCACCA
RNAcentral lists this transfer RNA (110 nucleotides) under Tateyamaria sp. RNAcentral's name for it is "tRNA-OTHER". The record is from RNAcentral. Lineage: Bacteria; Pseudomonadati; Pseudomonadota; Alphaproteobacteria; Rhodobacterales; Roseobacteraceae.